GUGGGGGAUAUUGCACAAUGGGCGAAAGCCUGAUGCAGCAACGCCGCGUGAGGGAAGACGGUUUUCGGAUUGUAAACCUCUGUCUUUGGUGACGAAACAAAUGACGGUAGCCAAGGAGGAAGCCACGGCUAACUACGUGCCAGCAGCCGCGGUAAUACGUAGGUGGCGAGCGUUGUCCGGAAUUACUGGGUGUAAAGGGAGCGCAGGCGGGGAGACAAGUCAGCUGUGAAAACUAACGGCUUAACCGAUAGAGUGCAGUUGAAACUGUGUUUCUGGAGUGGGGCAGAGGCAGGCGGAAUUCCUAGUGUAGCGGUGAAAUGCGUAGAUAUUCGGAGGAACACCAGUGGCGAGGGCGGCCUGCUGGGCUUUAACUGACGCUGAGGCUCGAAAGUGUGGGGAGCAAACAGGAUUAGAAACCCUUGUAGUCC
Molecule: ribosomal RNA, 428 nt
Filed under: uncultured bacterium
Lineage: Bacteria
Description: partial 16S ribosomal RNA
Rfam family: Bacterial small subunit ribosomal RNA
Source: RNAcentral